Molecule: ribosomal RNA, 497 nt
Filed under: uncultured bacterium
Lineage: Bacteria
Description: partial 16S ribosomal RNA
Rfam family: Bacterial small subunit ribosomal RNA
Source: RNAcentral
GAUGAACGCUGGCGGCGUGCCUAAUACAUGCAAGUCGAGCGAACAGACGAGGAGCUUGCUCCUCUGACGUUAGCGGCGGACGGGUGAGUAACACGUGGAUAACCUACCUAUAAGACUGGGAUAACUUCGGGAAACCGGAGCUAAUACCGGAUAACAUGUUGAACCGCAUGGUUCAACACUGAAAGACGGUCUUGCUGUCACUUAUAGAUGGAUCCGCGCCGCAUUAGCUAGUUGGUAAGGUAACGGCUUACCAAGGCAACGAUGCGUAGCCGACCUGAGAGGGUGAUCGGCCACACUGGAACUGAGACACGGUCCAGACUCCUACGGGAGGCAGCAGUAGGGAAUCUUCCGCAAUGGGCGAAAGCCUGACGGAGCAACGCCGCGUGAGUGAAGAAGGUCUUCGGAUCGUAAAACUCUGUUAUUAGGGAAGAACAAAUGUGUAAGUAACUAUGCACGUCUUGACGGUACCUAAUCAGAAAGCCACGGCUAACUACGUG